Molecule: long non-coding RNA, 1432 nt
Filed under: Heterocephalus glaber (naked mole-rat)
Lineage: Eukaryota; Metazoa; Chordata; Mammalia; Rodentia; Bathyergidae
Description: lncRNA (ENSHGLG00000034636.1)
Source: RNAcentral
CGCACCCCCACGACCCUCCCCCACCGGGGCGUGGACCUGUGAGUCUGGGUCUUGCGCGGCCUUGCCCCACGAUCCCCCGACAAGGGCGUCACUUCCCCGCUAAAGAAUCCCACGCUCUGUCCCCGUCCCCGCUGCUGCCUGUCUGCCCCGUGUCACGCUGUCCCCUCCGUGGGGCACCUCGCAGGGACUCCUGGGAAGACCGAAGCAUGUGCAGCCCUCUCUUCUGGGGACCCCCAGUGACCUGAGGACAGGCCCAGGAGACAGGAGGGAAACCGAGGCAUGGGAGCGCAUCCUGUCGUGUCUGCAGUGCUGGAGAGGACGUCACUGUGAGCAGCUCCAAGCGCCAGAGCCUCCGAGGCUCCGGCAGAGCCAGGCUGGUGGUGAGGGCUACAGACCGCCGGCCCAGACUUCAGGAACACACCAUCCCUCUGGGCUGAGACUGCAGGUCUGUGAUCCGGGCAUUCGCAGAGACUGAGAGCAGCGUCCCCACUCUGUCCUGGCCAUCAGCAGCAUCUCAGCCUUCAUGUGUACGGUGUCCCCAGAGUCUGCAGAGACGUCCCUGUGUAUCCGGACACUGGGCAUCAGUCCACAUAACCCAGGCCAGCCUCGAUCUCCCCGGGAUCUUCCUGCCUCAGCCUCCCGAGUGCUACAAUCACAGGCACCACUACGCUGGGCUCCUUUUUCACUGGCUUAUUUUAUAUUAAGAAGGACUGUGAGAAUCUCUCUAGGCGGAUAGUUUCAGUUCUUCUACAGGAGAUGCAGGUGACCCCUGACCUGCAGAGCACCCCCGGGGCCAGGCCAUCAGGGGGACUCCAGAGGGGCCCAAGGCCGCCGCUGACCAGGGCAGACCCAAGUGGGCGUGGUGAAGUCAGCAGUGUGGAUGCUGCCUGGGCUCUGUGUCCCCAGAGGCGCUGAGGGAGCCCUGCAGCCCAGCUCCAUGCCAGCUGGACCCUGGGGCUCCACUGGGCCGGAUGCCACCUGGGCUGGUGGCCCACUGGCCACCUUCCUGAGCCGGGUGCCUCCCCAGCAGCAGAGCUGCCAGCUGGCUCUCUCCGUUCCUCCCCAGGUGAGCUGCUGGAGCAGCCUGUGAGGCCCCUCGCUGAGGCUGUGCACACUGAGACCAGGGUGCUGCUCAGGCUGGCCUCGAACUUUCAGUCCUCCUGCCUCAGCCUCCCAAGUAGCUGGGAUCACAGGUGUGGCCCCCCCGCCCCAUCUCCCCCCCGGACAUUUUCGGGGGUCACUGGGCUGCUGUGGGAGGCAAGGCUGACUGAGGGCUGAGGGGACCCACCCGGGAUCCCCCAGGGAAGCAGCCUGCGGUGCUGGGUGCCACUCGUGGUGGUGCAGCCCCAGGCGUCUGGGGCAGGACUCAACUCCACACCCAGGGGUCUCUGCUCUGGCUCUCACCGAGGUGCCUGCCCCAGGGCAUCGUGGG